This 202-nucleotide ribosomal RNA is filed under the name uncultured bacterium. RNAcentral's name for it is "partial 16S ribosomal RNA". It matches the Rfam family "Bacterial small subunit ribosomal RNA", at positions 524 to 720 of the family's 1533-position model. The record is from RNAcentral.
GACAGAAAGUGCAGGCGUUAUUCGGAUUGACUGGGCGUUAAGGGUAUGUAGGCGGCUGAAUGUAACUAGGUUGGAAAAGCUCAGGAAUCCGCUGAGAAGUCUGCCUAAAAAUUAUUAAGCUAGAGUUUGUGCUGCGUUUGGAGAAUUAGGGAAGUAAAGGAGUUAAAUCCUACGAUAUUACUAGGAAGGCCGAAAGGCGAAA